GACGAACGCUGGCGGCGUGCUUAACACAUGCAAGUGGUGCGACGAACCAGGGCUUGCCCUGGGGCAAAGCCGCGAACGGGUGAGUAACACGUGAGUAACCUGCCCCGAUGACCGGGACAACCCGAGGAAACUCGGGCUAAUACCGGAUGUGGCGCACAGGCAUCAGCCUGUUCGCUAAAGGAAGCUUCGGCCUCCGCAUUGGGAGGGGCUCGCGGCCCAUUAGCUUGUUGGUGGGGUAACGGCCUACCAAGGCAACGAUGGGUAGCUGGUCUGAGAGGACGAUCAGCCACACUGGGACUGAGACACGGCCCAGACUCCUACGGGAGGCAGCAGUGGGGAAUCUUGCGCAAUGCGCGAAAGCGUGACGCAGCAACGCCGCGUGGGGGAAGAAUGCCUUCGGGUUGUAAACCCCUUU
Molecule: ribosomal RNA, 415 nt
Filed under: uncultured bacterium
Lineage: Bacteria
Description: bacterial SSU rRNA
Rfam family: Bacterial small subunit ribosomal RNA
Source: RNAcentral